GAUGAACGCUGGCGGCGUGCCUAAUACAUGCAAGUCGAGCGAACGGACGAGAAGCUUGCUUCUCUGAUGUUAGCGGCGGACGGGUGAGUAACACGUGGAUAACCUACCUAUAAGACUGGGAUAACUUCGGGAAACCGUAGCUAAUACCGGAUAAUAUUUUGAACCGCAUGGUUCAAAAGUGAAAGACGGUCUUGCUGUCACUUAUAGAUGGAUCCGCGCUGCAUUAGCUAGUUGGUAAGGUAACGGCUUACCAAGGCAACGAUGCAUAGCCGACCUGAGAGGGUGAUCGGCCACACUGGAACUGAGACACGGUCCAGACUCCUACGGGAGGCAGCAGUAGGGAAUCUUCCGCAAUGGGCGAAAGCCUGACGGAGCAACGCCGCGUGAGUGAUGAAGGUCUUCGGAUCGUAAAACUCUGUUAUUAGGGAAGAACAUAUGUGUAAGUAACUGUGCACAUCUUGACGGUACCUAAUCAGAAAGCCACGGCUAACUACGUGCCAGCAGCCGCGGUAAUACGUAGGUGGCAAGCGUUAUCCGGAAUUAUUGGGCGUAAAGCGCGCGUAGGCGGUUUUUUAAGUCUGAUGUGAAAGCCCACGGCUCAACCGUGGAGGGUCAUUGGAAACUGGAAAACUUGAGUGCAGAAGAGGAAAGUGGAAUUCCAUGUGUAGCGGUGAAAUGCGCAGAGAUAUGGAGGAACACCAGUGGCGAAGGCGACUUUCUGGUCUGUAACUGACGCUGAUGUGCGAAAGCGUGGGGAUCAAACAGGAUUAGAUACCCUGGUAGUCCACGCCGUAAACGAUGAGUGCUAAGUGUUAGGGGGUUUCCGCCCCUUAGUGCUGCAGCUAACGCAUUAAGCACUCCGCCUGGGGAGUACGACCGCAAGGUUGAAACUCAAAGGAAUUGACGGGGACCCGCACAAGCGGUGGAGCAUGUGGUUUAAUUCGAAGCAACGCGAAGAACCUUACCAAAUCUUGACAUCCUUUGACAACUCUAGAGAUAGAGCCUUCCCCUUCGGGGGACAAAGUGACAGGCGGUGCAUGGUUGUCGUCAGCUCGUGUCGUGAGAUGUUGGGUUAAGUCCCGCAACGAGCGCAACCCUUAAGCUUAGUUGCCAUCAUUAAGUUGGGCACUCUAAGUUGACUGCCGGUGACAAACCGGAGGAAGGUGGGGAUGACGUCAAAUCAUCAUGCCCCUUAUGAUUUGGGCUACACACGUGCUACAAUGGACAAUACAAAGGGCAGCGAAACCGCGAGGUCAAGCAAAUCCCAUAAAGUUGUUCUCAGUUCGGAUUGUAGUCUGCAACUCGACUACAUGAAGCUGGAAUCGCUAGUAAUCGUAGAUCAGCAUGCUACGGUGAAUACGUUCCCGGGUCU
Molecule: ribosomal RNA, 1372 nt
Filed under: uncultured bacterium
Lineage: Bacteria
Description: bacterial SSU rRNA
Rfam family: Bacterial small subunit ribosomal RNA
Source: RNAcentral